RNAcentral lists this ribosomal RNA (649 nucleotides) under uncultured bacterium. RNAcentral's name for it is "bacterial SSU rRNA". It matches the Rfam family "Bacterial small subunit ribosomal RNA", at positions 43 to 705 of the family's 1533-position model. The record is from RNAcentral.
CAGGCCUAACACAUGCAAGUCGAACGAUGAAGCCCAGCUUGCUGGGUGGAUUAGUGGCGAACGGGUGAGUAACACGUGAGUAACCUGCCCUUAACUCUGGGAUAAGCCUGGGAAACUGGGUCUAAUACCGGAUAGGAGCGCCUACCGCAUGGUGGGUGUUGGAAAGAUUUAUCGGUUUUGGAUGGACUCGCGGCCUAUCAGCUUGUUGGUGAGGUAAUGGCUCACCAAGGCGACGACGGGUAGCCGGCCUGAGAGGGUGACCGGCCACACUGGGACUGAGACACGGCCCAGACUCCUACGGGAGGCAGCAGUGGGGAAUAUUGCACAAUGGGCGCAAGCCUGAUGCAGCGACGCCGCGUGAGGGAUGACGGCCUUCGGGUUGUAAACCUCUUUCAGUAGGGAAGAAGCGAAAGUGACGGUACCUGCAGAAGAAGCACCGGCUAACUACGUGCCAGCAGCCGCGGUAAUACGUAGGGUGCGAGCGUUAUCCGGAAUUAUUGGGCGUAAAGAGCUCGUAGGCGGUUUGUCGCGUCUGUCGUGAAAGUCCGGGGCUUAACCCCGGAUCUGCGGUGGGUACGGGCAGACUAGAGUGCAGUAGGGGAGACUGGAAUUCCUGGUGUAGCGGUGGAAUGCGCAGAUAUCAGGAGGA